RNAcentral lists this ribosomal RNA (622 nucleotides) under uncultured bacterium. RNAcentral describes it as "bacterial SSU rRNA". The stretch from base 1 to 540 matches the Rfam family "Bacterial small subunit ribosomal RNA", at positions 338 to 873 of the family's 1533-position model. The record is from RNAcentral.
CCUACGGGAGGCAGCAGUGGGGAAUUUUGGACAAUGGGCGCAAGCCUGAUCCAGCAAUGCCGCGUGCAGGAUGAAGGCCUUCGGGUUGUAAACUGCUUUUGUACGGAACGAAACGGUCUGCCCUAAUACGGUGGGCUAAUGACGGUACCGUAAGAAUAAGCACCGGCUAACUACGUGCCAGCAGCCGCGGUAAUACGUAGGGUGCGAGCGUUAAUCGGAAUUACUGGGCGUAAAGCGUGCGCAGGCGGUUAUGUAAGACAGAUGUGAAAUCCCCGGGCUCAACCUGGGACCUGCAUUUGUGACUGCAUAGCUAGAGUACGGUAGAGGGGGGAUGGAAUUCCGCGUGUAGCAGUGAAAUGCGUAGAUAUGCGGAGGAACACCGAUGGCGAAGGCAAUCCCCUGGACCUGUACUGACGCUCAUGCACGAAAGCGUGGGGAGCAAACAGGAUUAGAUACCCUGGUAGUCCACGCCCUAAACGAUGUACACUGGUUGUUGGUCUUCACUGACUCAGUAACGAAGCUAACGCGNGAGUAGACGCCGUGGGAGGUACGGCCGCGAGUAGAACGUACGAAGUAGAGUUAGAGGCGUGAGAGAGACGACGGACGACGACGAGGGAGGAGG